GUAGCAUAAUCACUUGUCUCUUAAAUGGGGACUAGUAUGAAUGGCAUCACGAGGGUUUAACUGUCUCUUAUUCCCAAUCAGUGAAAUUGACCUUCCCGUGCAGAGGCGGGAAUGCUGAUACAAGACGAGAAGACCCUGUGGAGCUUAAGACACAUAACUCAACACAUACCCAUUUCUAACCUACUGGGACAAAAAAUGUAUAAAGUUCUGAGUUAUAGUCUUUGGUUGGGGUGACCUCGGAGUACAAAAUAACCUCCGAAUGAAAUUAACCCAGAUUAACAAAUCUAAGUGUAUUAAUACCAGUAAUUGACCCAAUUAUUUGAUCAACGGAACAAGUUACCCCAGGGAUAACAGCGCAAUCCUAUUUGAGAGCCCAUAUCGAAAAUUAGGGUUUACGACCUCGAUGUUGGAUCAGGACAUCCAAAUGGUGCAGCAGCUAUUAAUGGUUCGUUUGUUCAACGAUUAAAGUCCUACGUGAUCUGAGUUCAGACCGGAGAAAUCCAGGUCGGUUUCUAUCUGUAUAUUAAUUUCUCCCAGUACGAAAGGACAAGAGAAAUGGGGCCAACGUCCCUAAUGAGCCCUAGAACUAACAUAUGAAUUCAUCUUAAUAUUCUAAUUCAAUAAAUAACCCCCCAAGAACAGGGCU
RNAcentral lists this ribosomal RNA (646 nucleotides) under Planigale kendricki. RNAcentral describes it as "partial 16S large subunit ribosomal RNA". It matches the Rfam family "Bacterial large subunit ribosomal RNA", at positions 1956 to 2829 of the family's 2925-position model. Lineage: Eukaryota; Metazoa; Chordata; Mammalia; Dasyuromorphia; Dasyuridae. The record is from RNAcentral.